GCUUUGCGUUAAGGAUUGAAGUGAAAAUCCUUUUUAAUUUUAAUUAAAUGGGCACAAUUAACAAAUAUGAGAUUGCCACACUUUACAAAAAAGUAAACUUGGCAAAGACGUAAUUAAAAAGAUUGAAACGUAAAGCCUGACCAAGC
Molecule: small RNA, 146 nt
Filed under: Polaribacter vadi
Lineage: Bacteria; Pseudomonadati; Bacteroidota; Flavobacteriia; Flavobacteriales; Flavobacteriaceae
Description: Flavo-1 RNA
Rfam family: Flavo-1 RNA
Source: Rfam by way of RNAcentral